RNAcentral lists this ribosomal RNA (512 nucleotides) under uncultured bacterium. RNAcentral's name for it is "partial 16S ribosomal RNA". It matches the Rfam family "Bacterial small subunit ribosomal RNA", at positions 28 to 523 of the family's 1533-position model. The record is from RNAcentral.
GACGAACGCUGGCGGCAUGCCUAAUACAUGCAAGUCGAGCGAACAGAUGAAGUGCUUGCACUUCUGACGUUAGCGGCGAACGGGAGAGUAACACGUAAGGAAUCUACCUAUAAGCGGGGGAUAACAUUCGGAAACGGGUGCUAAUACCGCAUAAUAUCUUCUUCCGCAUGGAAGAAGAUUGAAAGACGGCUCUGCUGUCACUUAUAGAUGACCUUGCGGUGCAUUAGUUAGUUGGUGGGGUAACGGCCUACCAAGACGAUGAUGCAUAGCCGACCUGAGAGGGUGAUCGGCCACAAUGGGACUGAGACACGGCCCAAACGCCUACGGGAGGCAGCAGUAGGGAAUCUUCCGCAAUGGGCGAAAGCCUGACGGAGCAAUGCCGCGUGAGUGAAGAAGGCCUUCGGGUCGUAAAACUCUGUUAUAAGAGAAGAACAAAUUGUAGAGUAACUGCUACAGUCUUGACGGUAUCUUAUCAGAAAGCACGGCUAACUACGUGCCAGCAGCCGCAGUAA